CUUCUCGACACAUAGCCCGUCGCUCCUACCGACACUAAACCCGACGCUCUUACAAACCCACUGAACCUUAUCAUUUAGAGGAAGGAGAAGUCGUAACAAGGUUUCCGUAGGUGAACCUGCGGAAGGAUCAUUG
RNAcentral lists this ribosomal RNA (133 nucleotides) under Phyllodium pulchellum. Its description in RNAcentral is "partial 18S ribosomal RNA". It matches the Rfam family "Eukaryotic small subunit ribosomal RNA", at positions 1657 to 1831 of the family's 1831-position model. Lineage: Eukaryota; Viridiplantae; Streptophyta; Magnoliopsida; Fabales; Fabaceae. The record is from RNAcentral.